RNAcentral lists this unclassified non-coding RNA (334 nucleotides) under Hevea brasiliensis (rubber tree). The record is from RNAcentral. Lineage: Eukaryota; Viridiplantae; Streptophyta; Magnoliopsida; Malpighiales; Euphorbiaceae.
CAAUCAUUGAAACAGGAAGCUCAACAACAAAGAAACACUAGCUCACAGAGACUGCAACGCAAAUGCCAGUGAAAUUUCACUGUUCCCGUUGCUAAACAUCAAAUUUUCUACUAUCGAAGAUGUCAAAAAACAAAAAUAAUCUCAUUAAUCGAAUUCAAGAAUUAAACUUUCCCACGAAAAAGUUCAGGCCAAAUUUUGCCAUCUAUCCAUGAGAUUCACUGAAUUAACGAAUACCCUUAAUCAGUUCUCUCUCGUGAAAAUGAAAAAAAAAAUUACGCAAACAACCGCACACGUAUGGGCAGAGUUCCAUAAGAAAGAAUCACAAGUUCUAGAU